RNAcentral lists this ribosomal RNA (331 nucleotides) under uncultured eukaryote. Its description in RNAcentral is "partial 18S ribosomal RNA". It matches the Rfam family "Eukaryotic small subunit ribosomal RNA", at positions 1470 to 1796 of the family's 1831-position model. The record is from RNAcentral.
CCCUUAGAUGUUCUGGGCCGCACGCGCGCUACACUGACGGAGGCAGCGAGCAUGUCCUUCGCCGAGAGGUGUGGGGAAUCUUGCGAGUCUCCGUCGUGCUGGGGAUAGAUGGUUGCAAUUGUCGAUCUUGAACGAGGAAUUCCUAGUAAGCGCGAGUCAUCAGCUCGCGCUGAUUACGUCCCUGCCCUUUGUACACACCGCCCGUCGCUACUACCGAUUGGAUGGCUUAGCGAGAAUUUUGGAUCGGAGCCCGGGUGGUCGGCAACGGUCGCCCGGGAGAUCUGAGAAAUCAUUCCAGCUUGGUCAUCUAGAGGAAGUAAAAGUCGUAACA